Molecule: ribosomal RNA, 433 nt
Filed under: uncultured bacterium
Lineage: Bacteria
Description: partial 16S ribosomal RNA
Rfam family: Bacterial small subunit ribosomal RNA
Source: RNAcentral
AACGAACGCUGGCGGCAGGCCUAACACAUGCAAGUCGAGCGAGGACUUCGGUUCUAGCGGCGGACGGGUGAGUAACGCGUGGUAAUGUGCCCUUCUCUACGGAAUAGCCCUGGGAAACUGGGAGUAAUACCGUAUACACACUUUUGGGGAAGGAUUUAUCGGAGAAGGAUCAGCCCGCGUUGGAUUAGGUAGUUGGUGGGGUAAUGGCCUACCAAGCCGACGAUCCAUAGCUGGUUUGAGAGGAUGAUCAGCCACACUGGGACAGAGACACGACCCAGACGCCUACGGGAAGUAGCAGAGGGGAAUCUUAGACAAUGGGGGCGACCCUGAGAUAGCCAUGCCGCGUGGAUGAUGAAGGCCUUAGGGUUGGAAAGCUCUUGCAGCUGGGAAGAUAAUGACGGUACCAGCAGAAGAAGCCCCGGCUAACUCCGUG